CAGCAGCCGCGGUAAUACGAAGGGUGCAAGCGUUAAUCGGAAUUACUGGGCGUAAAGCGUGCGUAGGUGGUGGUUUAAGUCCGUUGUGAAAGCCCUGGGCUCAACCUGGGAAUUGCAGUGGAUACUGGGUCACUAGAGUGUGGUAGAGGAUAGUGGAAUUUCCGGUGUAGCAGUGAAAUGCGUAGAGAUCGGAAGGAACAUCUGUGGCGAAGGCGACUAUCUGGGCCAACACUGACACUGAGGCACGAAAGCGUGGGGAGCAAACAGGAUUAGAUACCCCGGUAGUCCCUGUCUCUUAUAC
This 301-nucleotide ribosomal RNA is filed under the name uncultured bacterium. RNAcentral's name for it is "partial 16S ribosomal RNA". It matches the Rfam family "Bacterial small subunit ribosomal RNA", at positions 509 to 807 of the family's 1533-position model. The record is from RNAcentral.